GAAGAACUAGGUAAGCUAGCUAAAGAGGAUAAAGAUCCCUUGAAAGACAGCUAACAGAAGAAUGACACUGACGGUUUUUUGCGCGACGCCCAACCUCAGAGUUGCAGCAAGAACAAACUAUACCAGAUCCCUGCUUAUAACCGACAAGCAAUUUCUUUCCACGAGAAUAAUAAGCAACUUCAGUCCCAUCGGGCAGUCCACCUUCCUCAAAAACCAACCAAUGCAUUUUCUGAUCCUUCUUUGUAAUUUUCCAUUGGGUCCUAGAGUGUACUGAAACACCAAGAGAACCAAUUGUUGAGGAAUUUGAAGUUUUUUGAGAUCUUGCUCU
RNAcentral lists this unclassified non-coding RNA (328 nucleotides) under Hevea brasiliensis (rubber tree). Lineage: Eukaryota; Viridiplantae; Streptophyta; Magnoliopsida; Malpighiales; Euphorbiaceae. The record is from RNAcentral.